This 345-nucleotide unclassified non-coding RNA is filed under the name soil metagenome. RNAcentral's name for it is "partial contains 5.8S ribosomal RNA, internal transcribed spacer 2, and large subunit ribosomal RNA". The stretch from base 1 to 120 matches the Rfam family "5.8S ribosomal RNA", at positions 35 to 154 of the family's 154-position model. The record is from RNAcentral.
GAUGAAGAACGUAGCGAAAUGCGAUACGUAAUGUGAAUUGCAGAAUUCAGUGAAUCAUCGAGUCUUUGAACGCACAUUGCGCCCCCUGGUAUUCCGGGGGCCAUGCCUGUCCGAGCGUCAUUGCUGCCCUCAAGCACGGCUUGUGUGUUGGGCCUCCGUCCUCCUCCCGGGGGCCGGGCCCGAAAGGCAGCGGCGGCACCGCGUCCGGUCCUCGAGCGUAUGGGGCUUCGUCACCCGCUCUUGUAGGCCCGGCCGGCGCUUGCCGACACAUCAAUCUUUUUUCCAGGUUGACCUCGGAUCAGGUAGGGAUACCCGCUGAACUUAAGCAUAUCAAUAAGCGGAGGA